Lutra lutra (Eurasian river otter) is the source of this 722-nucleotide long non-coding RNA. RefSeq lists it as uncharacterized. The transcript has 3 exons. NCBI's taxonomy places the organism in Eukaryota, Metazoa, Chordata, Mammalia, Carnivora, Mustelidae. The record is from RefSeq and is a predicted model, not a curated record.
GUGGGCAGAAGAGCCUGUCCGGUACUGGAGCCCGUCCAUGAAAGGAGGCCGGAGCCAGGCAGGUGUGUGCUCAGGCUCCAUGUUGUUGCCCAGCUUUGGGCCAGGAUUGGAGAACCCGCCUCAGCCCAGAGAAGCCCUGAUUAAAACAGUACAGCCUGGCCAUUCGAGGAGUCCCCAGUCACCAGAGGACACUGCACAUGGAACCACUGUUCCACCUCGGGUUCUUCUCACCAGCCAUCUCCCCUCCAAAUCACCAAGACUCCAGAUGGAGCUAUCAGCUUUCAAGCAGUGUGGGAGACUGAGGAGAAGCCCAGUAAACCUCUCCAGAGGGAGGCAACCAGCACAAUCCAGAUGGGCAAAUGCCACUGGGCAGAAACCCAGCUCUGUCCAAACUAUGCCUGGUAGGGCCAAAUGAGGGAGGGAGGAAGGACCCCAAUGAGUCAAAUCGACCAAGGGCAAUGCGUGGAUUGUGUGUGGAUCCUGAUGUGAACACAAAUGGAAACACCAUGUUGAAGGUGGAGCCGCUACUUCGGGCCCACAAAGAGACAAGUUUGAGACCCAAACACACUUGCUAAAACCGGCCAAGCAGGAAGAUGGAGUUUGAGCCCCACAGUGGCAUGUGGAGUUGCUGCAUCAAACUUGGAGGCCCUAAUACCAGCUUUUUUGACAUGUGAGAAAAAAAUUCGGUGUCUGAUGAAGAAAAAGAAGAAGAAGCAGGGGAA